Molecule: ribosomal RNA, 440 nt
Filed under: uncultured bacterium
Lineage: Bacteria
Description: partial 16S ribosomal RNA
Rfam family: Bacterial small subunit ribosomal RNA
Source: RNAcentral
CCUACGGGUGGCUGCAGUGGGGAAUAUUGGACAAUGGGCGCAAGCCUGAUCCAGCCAUGCCGCGUGAGUGAUGAAGGCCCUAGGGUUGUAAAGCUCUUUUGUGCGGGAAGAUAAUGACGGUACCGCAAGAAUAAGCCCCGGCUAACUUCGUGCCAGAAGCCGCGGUAAUACGAAGGGGGCUAGCGUUGCUCGGAAUCACUGGGCGUAAAGGGUGCGUAGGCGGGUCUUUAAGUCAGAGGUGAAAUCCUGGAGCUCAACUCCAGAACUGCCUUUGAUACUGAGGAUCUUGAGUUCGGGAGAGGUGAGUGGAACUGCGAGUGUAGAGGUGAAAUUCGUAGAUAUUCGCAAGAACACCAGUGGCGAAGGCGGCUCACUGGCCCGAUACUGACGCUGAGGCACGAAAGCGUGGGGAGCAAACAGGAUUAGAUACCCCUGUAGUC